CGGGCGGGCCUCGGCUGCGUCAGCGCCCGGGGCGGGGCGGCCGGCCCCGGAAGGCUCCGCUCGCGGCGGCCCCGGUCACCCCGCCGCCGUGUCAUCUCCGACGUCAGUGUGAGUCGGGCCAGCAGCGUCAUUAUUCACAAUAGCUGAGAUAUGGAAUCAACCCAGGUGUCCAUCAAAAGAAAAAUUUUGUGUGCACACACGCUUGGGAAUACUGUUGAGUUGUAAGAAAGGAUUAAAUCCCGUCAUUUGUGGUGACACAGAGGGACCUGAAGAUCACAACAUUGAGUGGAACAAGCCAGGCACAGAAAGGAAAUAACGAUUUGAUACAAUGAAUAACCCGAAUACCC
This is a long non-coding RNA of Ochotona princeps (American pika), 347 nucleotides long. RefSeq lists it as uncharacterized. The transcript is spliced from 3 exons. Lineage: Eukaryota; Metazoa; Chordata; Mammalia; Lagomorpha; Ochotonidae. The record is from RefSeq and is a predicted model, not a curated record.